This 1918-nucleotide long non-coding RNA is filed under the name Homo sapiens (human). RNAcentral's name for it is "HSALNT0343904". The record is from RNAcentral. Lineage: Eukaryota; Metazoa; Chordata; Mammalia; Primates; Hominidae.
UGUGAGUGACCCAGCCCCUGUCUACACUAGAGCUGUUGGUCACCUGUUUGUCUACACCACUGACACUUGAGUAAUGCUGCUCCCGUUGAACCCAAGACCCUACGAGUGACUCCAUUCCUGUCCAUACCACAUAGCGACUGACCUCUCCAGACACCACAAAUGACGUAUUCCUGUCUAUCCCACAGACACCACGUGUAACGUGGCCACGGAACCUCAGACAGACCGCGUUAAGGGCACUGAUACACUCUCAGGACCUCUAAUAUAUGAACACUCUUCUCUCUAUUGAGAAUCACUAUAUUCUGUUGACGAGAGGGAUUCCUUUGCACUCCUCCUGAUUUCUCUCUCCUCCCCACUAGGACCAUGACAUACAUUCCUCCUGCAUAUCAGUCUCACCCAGAACUGACACGCCCUCAUCCCAUCUUCCCAGCUCCCCAGGACUCCUUCACUAGCCACGGCUUCACUUUUAGGCCCACAGAUUGGUUAACAAAUGACACCCAUUUUGCUAAGGCCUAUGCCAGGAACUUCUUCAUGCUCCAAAUGUGGAUAAAACAAGACGUCUGAGACAGAGGCCACAUCAAGAGCUUUUUAGCUGGAGCUGGGACCUCUGGAUUAGGCCCAAGAUGCAAGGCCAGACAGUGGAGUGCAGUAGGGGAGCAAGCUAGGGAGGAACCUCGAAAGGAAAACCACCCUCUCUCAUCUGUUUGACACACCCUUCUCUCUCAACCAGACAAGAGUCCUGGCCAGAGUUCACUUCUAGGUAGACAGGAGGGCAAAUCUGUCUUUGGAACCCAAGAUCCAGGAAGGGAAGAAAGGGACUGAGAUCUGGAAAUGACGUAGUAUCACAACUGGCUCUCCUCCGGUAGUCUUGCCGGAAGGCAACUGCAAAAGAUGCUCAGGGGUUCUAGAGCUCUGCGUCCGCAUUCUAGCACCCCAACGCCUACCUCAGCCCCCAACUCUAAAUAACUUCUUUCCACCUUGCUAAGAAUGCAACGUUGUGAUUCACAUCAAGCUUUAGGAGGCUCCCCAUAUGUAGGGAACUGGGGUGAGGGGCAGGGCAGGAUUCACUGUUCCAGGUUACGGAGCUUUGGUUAACACGGAGAGAAGCUACACAUAGACUCACACAGUAUGCAAAUACCUAUGGAGAUACAUAAGGAAAGGCCCCGGCCUGGUUAAGGAAAAGGAGCCGAUAAAACCUCUCCAGGUAAGGAACAGCCUAGAAAGGGAAUCUCAGUUAUUCCUUCUGAUAUGGCUUAGCUUUCCCCAGGGCGCCUACUUUGAAGAAAGAGCCCUGAUUAUUGGCCCGGGGAACGUCUGGGGGCAGGGUGCCCAUUUCCUAGGCGGGACCCGACCGGAAGCAAACUUGUAGGCAACAACAUUUCCUCUAGUUCCUCUCCUCUUCCCCACCAGGGUCCUCAGCCACACACCCCGAGCCCUGCCUGCGGGCCCAGCCCCCCCAUUUCCGGAGCCUGCGCCCCGGACCCAGCGGGGGCUGAUCCCUGGGAAAGGCCUGGCUUCCUCUUCCUUCCUGUCCCUGCCCCACCUCCGCCGGGCUCCACAGCCGCCGGGAGCCCAGGGCCGAGACGGGAGGAGGGCACCCACCUGGUCGGUGUCACAUGCUGCUUCGGCCCCAGCGUCCCCUCCAGGUCCCGGCGCCGGCCGCAGUCCCCAGAGCCGUCCCCAGCGCAGGCCCGGCCGCCCCACCCGCGACCCGCCCCUGGCCGCCCGACGGGAGGGAGGGAUCGGGUUCUCCUAGGAAGUUUCAGUAGUGAAAUGGUGAAAAAUCAGACAAUGGUCACAGAGUUCCUCCUACUGGGAUUUCUCCUGGGCCCAAGGAUUCAGAUGCUCCUCUUUGGGCUCUUCUCCCUGUUCUAUGUCUUCACCCUGCUGGGGAAUGGGACCAUCCUGGGGCUCAUCUCAC